This 481-nucleotide ribosomal RNA is filed under the name uncultured bacterium. RNAcentral's name for it is "partial 16S ribosomal RNA". It matches the Rfam family "Bacterial small subunit ribosomal RNA", at positions 28 to 507 of the family's 1533-position model. The record is from RNAcentral.
GAUGAACGCUGGCGGCGUGCCUAACACAUGCAAGUCGAACGGAGAUUACGGACGGAAGUUUUCGGAUGGAAGCCUGUAAUUCUUAGUGGCGGACGGGUGAGUAACGCGUGGGCAACCUGCCCUAUACAGGGGGAUAGCAGCUGGAAACGGCUGGUAAGACCGCAUAAGUCGGUUAAAUCGCAUGAUUUGAUCGGGAAAUGAGCAAUCGGGUAUAGGAUGGGCCCGCGUCCGAUUAGCCAGUUGGCAGGGUAAAAGCCUACCAAAGCGACGAUCGGUAGCCGGACUGAGAGGUCGGACGGCCACAUUGGGACUGAGACACGGCCCAAACUCCUACGGGAGGCAGCAGUGGGGGAUAUUGCACAAUGGAGGAAACUCUGAUGCAGCGACGCCGCGUGAGUGAAGAAGUAUUUCGGUAUGUAAAGCUCUAUCAGCAGGGAAGAUGAUGACGGUACCUGACUAAGAAGCCCCGGCUAACUACGUG